RNAcentral lists this ribosomal RNA (200 nucleotides) under uncultured bacterium. RNAcentral's name for it is "partial 16S ribosomal RNA". It matches the Rfam family "Bacterial small subunit ribosomal RNA", at positions 8 to 203 of the family's 1533-position model. The record is from RNAcentral.
AGAGUUUGAUCAUGGCUCAGGACGAACGCUGGCGGCGUGCCUAAUACAUGCAAGUCGAGCGAAUCUUUAGGAGCUUGCUCCUGAAGAUUAGCGGCGGACGGGUGAGUAACACGUGGGCAACCUGCCUGUAAGAUUGGGAUAACUUCGGGAAACCGGGGCUAAUACCGGAUACGACCCUCCACUGCAUGGUGUGUGGGUGG